RNAcentral lists this transfer RNA (67 nucleotides) under Papilio helenus. RNAcentral describes it as "tRNA-Glu". The record is from RNAcentral. Lineage: Eukaryota; Metazoa; Arthropoda; Insecta; Lepidoptera; Papilionidae.
AUUUAUAUAGUUUAUAAUAAAACUUUGCUUUUUCUUUGUAAAUAAUAAAAUUCUUUUUUUAUAAAUA